GGCCGGGAUUUGCGCAAUGGAAAUCUGUGAACCCCGUCAGAUCCGGAAGGAAGCAGCGGUAAGCGGACACUUUCGUGUGCCGCAAGUAAGCCUGGUCACA
RNAcentral lists this signal recognition particle RNA (100 nucleotides) under Clostridiales bacterium. Its description in RNAcentral is "signal recognition particle sRNA small type". It matches the Rfam family "Bacterial small signal recognition particle RNA". Rfam says of the family: The signal recognition particle (SRP) is a universally conserved ribonucleoprotein involved in the co-translational targeting of proteins to membranes. Lineage: Bacteria; Bacillati; Bacillota; Clostridia; Eubacteriales. The record is from RNAcentral.